This 69-nucleotide transfer RNA is filed under the name Glaucidium cuculoides (Asian barred owlet). Its description in RNAcentral is "tRNA-Gly". It matches the Rfam family "tRNA". From Rfam's summary of the family: Transfer RNA (tRNA) molecules are approximately 80 nucleotides in length. Their secondary structure includes four short double-helical elements and three loops (D, anti-codon, and T loops). Further hydrogen bonds mediate the characteristic L-shaped molecular structure. tRNAs have two regions of fundamental functional importance: the anti-codon, which is responsible for specific mRNA codon recognition, and the 3' end, to which the tRNAs corresponding amino acid is attached (by aminoacyl-tRNA synthetases). tRNAs cope with the degeneracy of the genetic code in two manners: having more than one tRNA (with a specific anti-codon) for a particular amino acid; and 'wobble' base-pairing, i.e. permitting non-standard base-pairing at the 3rd anti-codon position. Lineage: Eukaryota; Metazoa; Chordata; Aves; Strigiformes; Strigidae. The record is from RNAcentral.
GCUCUUCUAGUAUAAUAAUUACAAUUGACUUCCAAUCUCUAGAAUCUGGUACAAACCCAGAGAAGGGCA